CAAAAAGCGUUACAGCUUAACCUAACAUUCAAUAAAAUUUCACCUACAAUCACUAACCCCACCCCAUUACUGAAUGACUCUAUGAUAACAUAGAAAACAUAAUGCUAGAACUAGUAACAAGAAUGACUUCUCCAAAAUGUAAGUAUUUACCAAACUACUGGUAAUUAACGAAUAUGAGCCUACUACAGUAACCCUCAAGAAAACUCUGUAUAAACCCCCGUCAACCUAACACCAGAACAUUCCUGGAAAGAUUUAAAGAGAAAGAAGGAACUUGGCAAAUCUCGACCCCGCCUGUUUACCAAAAACAUCGCCUCUUGGCUCAUAAUAAGAGGUCUAGCCUGCCCACUGAUAAAAUUCAACGGCCACGGUACCCUAACCGUGCAAAGGUAGCAUAAUCACUUGUUCUUUAAAUAAGGACUAGUAUCAACGGCAUCACGAGGGUCGCACCGUCUCCUUUCUCCAAUCAGUGAAACUGAUCUCCCCGUGAAGAAGCGUGGAUAAAACUAUAAGACGAGAAGACCCCAUGGAGCUUUAGACUUCCAGCAACUAAACUUUACACCCCUCAACAACCACAAAACUAUGCUUAACAGUCUUAGGCUGGGGCGGCCACGGAGUAAAAAACAACCUCCACGACGAAAAGAGCUAAAUCCUUAUCUAUGAGUCACUACUCUAAGAAUUAGAACACUAACGUACAAUGACCCGAUAAACGACCAACGAACCUAGUUACCCUGGGGAUAACAGCGCAAUCUACUUCAAGAGCUCAUAUCGACAAGUAGGCUUACGACCUCGAUGUUGGAUCAGGGUAUCCUAGUGGUGCAGCCGCUGCUAAUGGUUCGUUUGUUCAACGAUCAAAACCCU
RNAcentral lists this ribosomal RNA (858 nucleotides) under Philautus nephophilus. RNAcentral describes it as "partial 16S ribosomal RNA". It matches the Rfam family "Bacterial large subunit ribosomal RNA", at positions 1580 to 2597 of the family's 2925-position model. The record is from RNAcentral. Lineage: Eukaryota; Metazoa; Chordata; Amphibia; Anura; Rhacophoridae.